CUCAUCCUGAUGGUGUAAACCAUGCACCACACUGCUGGCCUGCCUGCUCCUCACUGGCAUGGCAGGUAGCUGGACCUUGGGGUGCUUUCAGGAGUGCAUCUCUGCUAGGAAAUAUUUCUCUCCACGGCAGAGUUAGCAUCUGGUAGCUGCGGGGAGCUCCCAGGCUGGGUCAGUGCUGUGCCAGCUUUCCUGCUGGCCUCGGGUGGCCACCCUUCUGGGGCAGGGGGUCCUUUCUCUGUGUAUUUAUCCGUGUUUUUAAAAUGAGGGGAUUUUCUUCAAAAAGCACACCAGCUCUGAUGUGACCCUUGCAUGUUCCCGUGCAGCGCGGACCUUCUUAUUUCCUGAAUGGCUUGCUCUGCACUUGAGUUAACUCACACCCUGGAUUUUGUCCAAGUACAUUUUGUUUCUUGAUACGAGGCCAGACUUUGCUGACUUGUGGUGCCGUUUUCUUCUCCCUGCUCUCCUCCCUGCUUCUUUAUUAUCAUCCUCAUUACCGAGUGUUACUGGCACCGUGCAGCCAAGGCGGGGAGAGCAGGCCCCAGAUCUACGCCUGCCUCUGACAACAGCUGAAGGGAGCGCGCUGAAGCAACAACAAACGCCUUCUUUAACGUACAUUGCCUGCACAUUGAGCUGUCCCAAGCCUGGCCCGGCACUGAAAGCAGUUACUGACAAGUGCCCAUCCUUAGAACUUGGACCAAGACUGAAACAACAGAGUCUCAGGAGUCCUGCAGGCCCAUUGCUGAGAGGAACCCUGGGUAUUAGUGAAGUUCCUGUGACUUGAAAGAAGGCAAAUUUGGUUUCCACGCACUGGUUCCAGGGCAGCAGCUGAAGCUCGGGAGAUGCCGUGCACCCAUAGUAGGCUCCAUCCCCUGGGGGCGAAGGUCCGUGGCCCUUCCUUGUCAGGCCCUGCCUGGGGCAUACUCAUAAGUGAAGAGUAACAAAGGUACUAAUGUCCUAAUAAUGAGACAAGGCUUGUUUUUGCAAAGCAGCUGUUCCAAACUUGUUGUCUGGAGGGUGCUCCUUCGGUGGCCAAGUGCCUCAGGAUAAAAGGGCUCAAGGUAAAAGUAGGAACAUAGACUGAGAGUAGGAACACAACCCAGCAAUAAUAGGUUUGUGAUGAACACAAAGAAUUUUCCUCACAGUUUUGUGAAGGUUUCUGCUUCUUUCAUUUGUGGAAGAGGAGCAAACAGUUCAGGACAUGCUUCUCCCUGAGAGCUUUCCAAACUCUCACUUUCUUUUUUUUGCUUUCCUUGACCCUUGCUUCACAUACUGCCUGACUACCCUCUUGUUCAGUGCAAAAAUCCUAUUAGAAGCAUACCAGUUACCAAGAAAUUAACUCAGAUACCGUCAUGCUGUUACUUUUCCACCUCAAUUAUGCAAGAUGGAAUUAAAGUGCCUUAGUAUAAGACCCUUACUGUUCUUAUGAACUCCAAACCACACCAGAAAUAUUCUACCCGGUGACCUUUAUCUGCACAUAAUUACAGUCUGAGGCAUUCUUAAAUCAUUUGCUAAGCUAUUUCUAGUGUUAUUCCAUGGUAAUCUUAAAUACCUAGGGAUUACCAGAGAUUACUGCCCUAUUUUCAGGGCACAGCAGCUAGAUUGCUAAGUAAUGCUGUGCUCUGAUACUUCUAGCAGGCACUGGUAUGUUUGAUAAAUCUGACUUUUUAAACGAAGACUGAAAUUGCUGUAUUGCAUAGUAUAAAGAUAAAUUUAUAAUUAAUCUUUGAAACUUUGAAUAAAUUAACAAACACAAGGCUAACA
Anser brachyrhynchus (Pink-footed goose) is the source of this 1761-nucleotide long non-coding RNA. The record is from Ensembl. Lineage: Eukaryota; Metazoa; Chordata; Aves; Anseriformes; Anatidae.